RNAcentral lists this long non-coding RNA (221 nucleotides) under Oryza brachyantha (malo sina). RNAcentral describes it as "long non-coding RNA (OBRA_LNC003254)". The record is from RNAcentral. Lineage: Eukaryota; Viridiplantae; Streptophyta; Magnoliopsida; Poales; Poaceae.
GGCAUCAGGAAUUCCAUACACCAAUCUGUUGACACCCUGACCUGUAGGAUGAAGAUAUGCGCAUGUUGCAGAGGGACGCGGUUCCUCUGACUUACGUCGGAGGGAUGCAGUUCCUCUCACUCAAGUCGGAGGGACGUGGUUGGCUGACAUGUGGUUCUUAUCGUCUAUGGACCCACAUGUUAGUCACUGAAAUCAAAGUUAGAGGAUAUCAUUCCAUUGCA